Molecule: long non-coding RNA, 699 nt
Filed under: Sorghum bicolor (sorghum)
Lineage: Eukaryota; Viridiplantae; Streptophyta; Magnoliopsida; Poales; Poaceae
Description: long non-coding RNA (SBIC_LNC011786)
Source: RNAcentral
GGCAAAGAAUUUUUUUUUGUUUUUUGUCUCUAAUUUUUUUUUCUACUAACUUUACACUUUAUUUUGAAGCCUAACUUAAAAUUUGACACAAUUCUCCAUAUAUUUCAUAUAUAUAUUUAAUUUAUUUCAUUUAAACGUAUUUCUUCCGAAAAUACAAUAGUGAACUACAGGUGCAUCCAAUCAUAGAAUUAGUUAGUUGGAAAAAUGAUAUUCACAAUACUUACAGGUAGCAGACAUGUUAGAUGACUUUCAUGAAGCUCAGUACGCCGAAGGACGUACUGAGGUAGAGAUGGAGGCAACUACAAAGGCGUUGAUUAUUUCGAUAGUGUUGAUUAUUUCGACAUGGUUGAUAGUGAUGAUGAGACUUAUGAUCCAACAAAUCCUGAUCAUGAAGAUUAUUUCUAGUACAUGUAAUACAAUGUUCUUUUCUAAUUAUGUUUUAUUUAUCUUGCAUUUUUUAAUUACUUCUUGCUUAUCAUUUUUAAUUUCUAAUUACCCCUUGUUUUUUCUUUCCAAUUGCAGGUGGUUGAACAAAGAUGGUGGGUAACCGUCAGAGGAACGUGUUCUCGCUUUACCAGAGGACACGUCCUACACCAGGUCGAUGCGACCUCUACUCCCUCUCUCUCCCAGAUCCGAGCACGGAGCACGGACACAAGCAUUCCCAUACGCCCACGGCCAGAGACUCCACAGCAGCGGAUU